This is a long non-coding RNA of Anarrhichthys ocellatus (wolf-eel), 151 nucleotides long. RefSeq lists it as uncharacterized. The transcript has 3 exons. The record is from RefSeq and is a predicted model, not a curated record. Lineage: Eukaryota; Metazoa; Chordata; Actinopteri; Perciformes; Anarhichadidae.
UGAAAUGGAUGAAAUGUCAUAUUGCUCUUUCUCUGGUGGAGAAGAAUUUAAAAAUCACUUCCAAGCCGCCUUCUCGGAGACAAUCCACGAGGACGGCGUCUCCAAACACCCUGAAGCAUGGGGACUGCUGAAGAUAUCCCAGGUCUGUUGU